RNAcentral lists this ribosomal RNA (1221 nucleotides) under Triticum aestivum (bread wheat). Its description in RNAcentral is "partial small subunit ribosomal RNA". Lineage: Eukaryota; Viridiplantae; Streptophyta; Magnoliopsida; Poales; Poaceae. The record is from RNAcentral.
AUGCAGCAGCCGCUGCAGCCACAGGCACCCCCGCCGCUCAGCACCGGGCCAGCGAUGACCGCGUCGGCGGGCGUUCUGAUCCAGCAGGUCCGGUUCCCACCCUCACCAUCACCGCUUCCGGCCUGGUUGGCCGGGUCGACGCCGCAGCCGGUCUACACUAUGGCCGGGGAACAGCCGGCGCCCACCCUGCAGUACGGCGGGCCCUCCGGCUCCGCGGGUGCCUACGUGGGCCACGAUGGACCGCCGUUUCACGGGGGACCCCCGGUGCCCACCGACCCGGCGUCAUCCUCUUCGCUGCCCCGUCCCGCCGAGUUGUACGCCCAUGGCGGUCAGGCCCCGACCCCGCCGCGCUUCGCCAAGCUCGACUUCGCCACCUACAACGGCACCGAGGACCCCCUCAACUGGCUCAACCAGUGCGAGCAGUUCUUCCGGUGGCAACGGAUGCUCGCGUCGGACAGCACCUGGCUCGCCUCUUAUCACCUCCGUGGUGCCGCCCAGACGUGGUACUACGCCCUCGAGCAGGACGAGGGCAGCAUGCCCCCAUGGGAGCGUCUUCGCGAGCUCUGCCUCCUUCGCUUCGGACCACCAAUACGCGGGAGCCGGCUGCCGGCUCCCCUUCACCUCUACGGUGCAGGACUUCACCGACCGCUUUCAGGCCCUGGCGUGCCAUGCGCCCGGCGUGACGGCUCGCCAGCGGUCCGAACUCUUCGUCGGCGGUCUGCCAGAUCAUAUUCGCGUGGGCGUGGAGCUGCAGGGACCCCAGGACCUCUAGACGGCCAUGUACUACGCAUGCGCGUUCGAGCGCCGCGCGGUGGCCAUCCAGCAGGCAUCACCGUCUCGGGCCACUGGGCCGACACCCUGGUCGGAUGUUCCCGUGCAGGGUCGGCUUGCUCAGGCUUCCGCGGCACCCCUCGCCGCGGCCGCGGCGCGCCCGUUCCGCCGGUUCACCUCGGCCGAGCUGCUCGAGCGUCGCCGCCAAGGGUUGUGCUUCAACUGCGACGAGCCCUACGUGCCCGGCCAUGUCUGCCCACGCCUCUUCUACCUGGAGGUUGCGGACUACAUGGAGGAGGACGCCGCCGCCUCCGGGCUUGGCGACCUGCACGCCCCAGCUGCCGCGGAGGUGUUUGGCGACGGGUGAUCACCUCGAGGAGUUCCGCAAGCGCUUCCCCGCCUUCCAGCUCGAGGAUGAGCUGUUUGUGCAGGCAGGGAGAAAUGUUAUGA